RNAcentral lists this ribosomal RNA (446 nucleotides) under uncultured bacterium. Its description in RNAcentral is "partial 16S ribosomal RNA". It matches the Rfam family "Bacterial small subunit ribosomal RNA", at positions 338 to 795 of the family's 1533-position model. The record is from RNAcentral.
CCUACGGGAGGCAGCAGUCGAGAAUCAUUCACCAUGGUGGAAACCCUGAUGGUGCGACGCCGCGUGGGGGAAUGAAGGUCUUCGGAUUGUAAACCCCCGUCAUGUGGGAGCAAAUUAAAAAGAUAGUACCACAAGAGGAAGAGACGACUAACUCUGUGCCAGCAGCCGCGGUAAUACAGAGGUCUCAAGCGUAGUUCGGAAUCACUGAGCGGAAAGCGUGCGUAGGCUGUUUCGUAAGUCGUGUGUGAAAGGCGCGGGCUCAACCCGCGGACGGCACAUGAUACUGCGAGACUAGAGUAAUGGAGUGGGAACCGGAAUGCUCGGUGUAGCAGUGAAAUGCGUAGAUAUCGAGAGGAACACUCGUGGCGAAGGCGGGUUCCUGGACAUUAACUGACGCUGAGGCACGAAGGCCAGGGGAGCGAAAGGGAUUAGAUACCCCUGUAGUC